RNAcentral lists this ribosomal RNA (467 nucleotides) under uncultured bacterium. RNAcentral describes it as "partial 16S ribosomal RNA". It matches the Rfam family "Bacterial small subunit ribosomal RNA", at positions 28 to 506 of the family's 1533-position model. The record is from RNAcentral.
GACGAACGCUGGCGGCGUGCUUAACACAUGCAAGUCGAACGGAAAGGCCCUGCUUUUGUGGGGUGCUCGAGUGGCGAACGGGUGAGUAACACGUGAGUAACCUGCCCUUGACUUUGGGAUAACUUCAGGAAACUGGGGCUAAUACCGGAUAGGAGCUCCUGCUGCAUGGUGGGGGUUGGAAAGUUUCGGCGGUUGGGGAUGGACUCGCGGCUUAUCAGCUUGUUGGUGGGGUAGUGGCUUACCAAGGCUUUGACGGGUAGCCGGCCUGAGAGGGUGACCGGGCACAUGGGGGCUGAGAUACGGCCCAGACUCCCACGGGAGGCAGCAGUGGGGAAUAUUGCACGAUGGGCGGAAGCCUGAUGCAGCAACGCCGCGUGCGGGAUGACGGCCUUCGGGUAGUAAACCGCUUUCGCCUGUGACGCAGCGUGAGUGACGGUAAUGGGUAAAGAAGCACCGGCUAACUACGU